This 416-nucleotide ribosomal RNA is filed under the name uncultured bacterium. Its description in RNAcentral is "bacterial SSU rRNA". It matches the Rfam family "Bacterial small subunit ribosomal RNA", at positions 355 to 762 of the family's 1533-position model. The record is from RNAcentral.
UGGGGAAUAUUGCGCAAUGGGCGAAAGCCUGACGCAGCGACGCCGCGUGGGUGAUGAAGGCCUUCGGGUCGUAAAGCCCUGUCGGGAGGGACGAAACCUCGGUGACCUAAUACGUCGCCGACCUGACGGUACCUCUUAAGGAAGCACCGGCUAACUCCGUGCCACCAGCCGCGGUAAUACGGAGGGCGCGAGCGUUGUUCGGAAUUACUGGGCGUAAAGCGCGUGCAGGCGGUCUCUUAAGUCUGGUGUGAAAGCCCGGGGCGCACCCCCGGAAGGGAACCGGGGACUGGGAGGCUAGAGUACCGUGGAGGAAGGUCGAAUUCCUGGUGUAGCGGCGAAAGGCGUAGAUAUCACGAAGAACUCCGAUUGCGAAGGCAGCUGACCGAGGUACAACGGACGCUGAUGCACGAAAGUGU